GUUUUAGUUUAUAAAAACUAAUACCAACUUCUUUUUUUUAAUUUUUAAAAGAAAAAAACCAAAUACAAAAAUUAUUAAACAAAAAAACGUGUAAAAAAGUUAGGACUCUAGGAACAACGGAUGUCUUGGCUCCUCACACGAUGAAGAACGUUGCAUAAUGUGAUAAGUAACUGGAGUUGCGAACAUUGUGACAAGUUAAUCUUUGAAUGCACAUUGCGCUUGCUACUAUCUUCGGGUAGUAGCUGCAUGUAUGUCACAGUACUACAUAACAUCAAAAAUUCUCACUUCUUUUCAUUAGAAUUGAGCAAAUAAUAUUUAAGCAAAAUU
This 327-nucleotide ribosomal RNA is filed under the name Tetratrichomonas sp. IdnP1. Its description in RNAcentral is "5.8S ribosomal RNA". The stretch from base 106 to 264 matches the Rfam family "5.8S ribosomal RNA". The record is from RNAcentral. Lineage: Eukaryota; Parabasalia; Trichomonadida; Trichomonadidae.